UCCAUGGGAGUCCAGUGGUUAGGACUCAACACUUUCACUGCUAGGGCCCAGGUACAAUCCCUGGUUGGGGAA
This is a non-coding RNA of Bos taurus (domestic cattle), 72 nucleotides long. Lineage: Eukaryota; Metazoa; Chordata; Mammalia; Artiodactyla; Bovidae. The record is from Rfam.